Molecule: unclassified non-coding RNA, 373 nt
Filed under: soil metagenome
Description: partial contains 5.8S ribosomal RNA, internal transcribed spacer 2, and large subunit ribosomal RNA
Rfam family: 5.8S ribosomal RNA (bases 1-121)
Source: RNAcentral
GAUGAAUAACGCAGCGAAAUGCGAUAAGUAAUGCGAAUUGCAGAAUUCCAGUGAGUCAUCGAAUCUUUGAACGCACAUUGCGCCCUUUGGUAUUCCGAAGGGCAUGCCUGUUCGAGCGUCAUUAUCACCCCUCAAGCCCUCGGCUUGGUGUUGGACGGUUUGGUGGAGGCCCCCUCGGGGGCUCCUGCCCCUCCCAAAGACAAUGACGGCGGCCUCGUUGGACCCCCGGUACACUGAGUUCUUCACGGGACACGUAUCGGACACAUGGGUUUACGGGACACGGUCUGCCUCCCCUCAGGGAGAAUCUUUCUAAGGUUGACCUCGGAUCAGGUAGGGAUACCCGCUGAACUUAAGCAUAUCAAUAAGCGGAGGA